UACGGAGGGUGCGAGCGUUGUCCGGAAUCAUUGGGCGUAAAGGGCGCGUAGGUGGCCCGGUCAGCGUGCGGUGAAAGCUCGGGGCUCAACCCCGAGUCGGCCGUGCGAACUGCUGGGCUUGAGCACUGUAGAGGCAGGCGGAAUUCCGGGUGUAGCGGUGGAAUGCGUAGAGAUCCGGAGGAACACCAGAGGCGAAGGCGGCCUACUGGGUCAGUACUGACGCUGAGGCGCGAAAGCCAGGGGAGCGAACGGG
RNAcentral lists this ribosomal RNA (253 nucleotides) under uncultured bacterium. Its description in RNAcentral is "partial 16S ribosomal RNA". It matches the Rfam family "Bacterial small subunit ribosomal RNA", at positions 524 to 776 of the family's 1533-position model. The record is from RNAcentral.